CAGGAUGAACGCUAGCUACAGGCUUAACACAUGCAAGUCGAGGGGCAUCAUGACGAUAGCUUGCUAUUGUUGAUGGCGACCGGCGCACGGGUGAGUAACGCGUAUCCAACCUUCCCCUUAGUAGAGGAUAGCCCGGCGAAAGUCGGAUUAAUACUCUAUGUUGUUCGAUGCGGACAUCUAAGUUGAACCAAAGGUUUACCGCUAAGGGAUGGGGAUGCGUCUGAUUAGGUAGUAGGCGGGGUAACGGCCCACCUAGCCUACGAUCAGUAGGGGUUCUGAGAGGAAGGUCCCCCACAUUGGAACUGAGACACGGUCCAAACUCCUACGGGAGGCAGCAGUGAGGAAUAUUGGUCAAUGGCCGAGAGGCUGAACCAGCCAAGUAGCGUGCAAGGAUGACGGCCCUAUGGGUUGUAAACUGCUUUUGUAUGGGGAUAAAGUUCACUACGUGUAGUGAUUUGCAGGUACCAUAUGAAUAAGGACCGGCUAAUUCCGUGCCAGCCGCCGC
This 505-nucleotide ribosomal RNA is filed under the name uncultured bacterium. RNAcentral's name for it is "bacterial SSU rRNA". It matches the Rfam family "Bacterial small subunit ribosomal RNA", at positions 25 to 518 of the family's 1533-position model. The record is from RNAcentral.